UGCCGAUGGCAGAUGGUCGCUGGCGAGUCUCGCGUUUGCGAGGCUCGCUAGAGGAAAGUCCGAACACCAUACGGCGGCAUGCCGCGUAAAACACGCGGGCAUCGUGGUUGAAAAACUGCGGUGACGGAGAGUGUCACAGAAAAGAUACCGCCGGUUCUUUGGCAACAAAGCACGGGCAAGGGUGAAAAGGCGAGGUAAGAGCUCACCGCUCGCGGAGUAAUUCGCGAGGCAAGAAAAACCCCAUGCGGUGCAAGACAAAACAGAGGGAGGGCAGCCGGCCCGUUUGAUCCUCGGGUAUCGUCGCAUCACGGUUCCGCGAUUGCGGGAUCGGACUCCCGGAGCAAUCCGGGAGAGAUAAAUGAUC
Molecule: RNase P RNA, 364 nt
Filed under: Verrucomicrobiota bacterium
Lineage: Bacteria; Pseudomonadati; Verrucomicrobiota
Description: Verrucomicrobia bacterium partial RNase P RNA component class A
Rfam family: Bacterial RNase P class A
About the family: Ribonuclease P (RNase P) is a ubiquitous endoribonuclease, found in archaea, bacteria and eukarya as well as chloroplasts and mitochondria.
Source: RNAcentral